GUUGAAAUUCAGGACUUACAGAGAAAUUUUAACAGGCUGUGUUUAACACUGCCUGCCCAGGCUAUUCAAAUUCGGCCAUUACCUGCUAAAAGGACAAAAUUUAACAGAAGGUGCUUUUCGUCCUAUUUGGAUGCCUGAACGCGCAAUCAGACAUGGAAGAGAUAGAACCCAAUUCAAGCGACUGAAGAUCGACCCAGAGGAGCCCCUAUCCAAAAGGAAGAGACAUCGGAAAAAUGAAGAAAGACCAGAUUGACCCAGCCGAAAAGCUGAUUUCAUGGGAAGACGUGAAGAAGCUAACAACACAGGCUUCCUGAAUACUUUGACUCCUAGGAAAGAAGAGGACCCCAGUGAUGAUGGUAGCAACAGUAAUUGCCCUGCUGGGCUGUCAGGAUGGCGAGUCUUCGGAACAAGAAUACAGA
Molecule: non-coding RNA, 419 nt
Organism: Marmota flaviventris (yellow-bellied marmot)
Lineage: Eukaryota; Metazoa; Chordata; Mammalia; Rodentia; Sciuridae
Source: RefSeq, a predicted model, not a curated record